UACGUAGGGUGCGAGCGUUGUCCGGAAUUAUUGGGCGUAAAGGGCUCGUAGGCGGUUUGUCGCGUCGGGAGUGAAAACCCAGGGCUUAACCCUGGGCUGGCUUUCGAUACGGGCAGACUGGAGGCAUGCAGGGGAGAACGGAAUUCCUGGUGUAGCGGUGAAAUGCGCAGAUAUCAGGAGGAACACCGGUGGCGAAGGCGGUUCUCUGGGCAUGUCCUGACGCUGAGGAG
RNAcentral lists this ribosomal RNA (230 nucleotides) under uncultured microorganism. Its description in RNAcentral is "partial 16S ribosomal RNA". It matches the Rfam family "Bacterial small subunit ribosomal RNA", at positions 524 to 753 of the family's 1533-position model. The record is from RNAcentral.